UAAAAUAACGGAGAGAAAGAAGGGUGAGGGGAAGGCCAAUCGGGAGAGGAAAGAAAAGAGAGUGACCAAUGGAGAAGAGAAGAAAUUAGGGGAAAGGAGAGAGUGGAGGAGCACCGAAUCACCCUUGACUCGGUUCCUCCCCGGCGACCCGACUCGAUUUCUACCACCCCGAUUCCAAUUCCAGCAUUUUCCCAACGAAUUGAUCAUCGCCACCACCUGCACACGACUCCUCAACCCUUCUUCUUCAAGUUCCACCCAAACCCGAUGGUUUUUUAUCUUGUUUUUGUGGGGAAGGCGCCGACAUCACCGUGGGGGGAGAUCGGCGGAAAUCCGCCAAGGUAAACCCUUCGACAACUUCCACCAUUAGCCUUCCCUUGAGCUCAAGAACAAUGCCCAAUCAUUGGUUGGAGCGUCGGAGUCGAUUUGAGGACGAAUCAAGAAACACCCUUUAUAGGGUUUCCAACGGGUUUUAGUGAAAUUGCCGCUUUUCCGGCCAAAUUGGCCUUAGUCACAGGUAUGAAAGUCGCUCUACUCAUCAAGAUCUUCAUUCCUGUAAAAUUUGGGAAUUUUUGGAAUUUUUCGAUUUUCCUGCGAGUCGGGGCGGCUGACCGCCACGCGCGGUGGCGCGUGGAGGAAAAACCCGAUGUCCCUCCUUAGGUUUUUCGACAUGCUGAAUCCGAAUCCUCCAUCCGUUUUUUCCAAAUUAUAAUGUUUUAGUAGAGUUUUACUAAAAGGUCCCUUAUUAUGUUUAGGCGCGUUGGCGGGAAGUGAUCACAUUCUCGAUAGUUUGAGCGGCUUCGAGCAAUGGAAAACUAGUGAGUGGACCCCUUCAUAACUUAUAUAUUUUUAUAAAAUAUUAGCCUAUCAUGCAUUUCAU
This 877-nucleotide long non-coding RNA is filed under the name Malus domestica (apple). Its description in RNAcentral is "long non-coding RNA (MDOM_LNC002365)". The record is from RNAcentral. Lineage: Eukaryota; Viridiplantae; Streptophyta; Magnoliopsida; Rosales; Rosaceae.